AGCGGCGGACGGGUGAGUAACACGUGAGUAACCUGCCUUAGACAUUGGGAUAGCCUCGGGAAACCGGGAUUAAUACCAAAUAAAAUCAUAAUGACACAUGUCAUAACGAUCAAAACUCCGGUGGUCUAAGAUGGACUCGCGUCCCAUUAGCUAGUUGGUAGAGUAAAAGCCUACCAAGGCGACGAUGGGUAGCCGGCCUGAGAGGGUGAACGGCCACAUUGGAACUGAGAUACGGCCCAG
This 240-nucleotide ribosomal RNA is filed under the name uncultured Eubacteriales bacterium. RNAcentral describes it as "uncultured Clostridiales bacterium partial 16S ribosomal RNA". It matches the Rfam family "Bacterial small subunit ribosomal RNA", at positions 94 to 334 of the family's 1533-position model. The record is from RNAcentral. Lineage: Bacteria; Bacillati; Bacillota; Clostridia; Eubacteriales.